UGAUCCUGGCUCAGAACGUACGCUGGCGGCACGCCUAACACAUGCAAGUCGAACGAAGUAGCAAUACUUAGUGGCAGACGGGUGAGUAACAUGUAGGAAUCUGCCCUUUGGCCUGGAAUAACACGAGGAAACUUGUGCUAAUACCGGAUAAGUCUUUACGGAGAAAGCUUUAUGCACCAUUGGAUGAGCCUGCACUUGAUUAGUUUGUUGGUGGGGUAAUGGCCUACCAAGACUGUGAUCAAUAGCUGAUUUGAGAGGAUGAUCAGCCACAUUGGGACUGAGACACGGCCCAAACUCCUACGGGAGGCAGCAGUGGGGAAUCUUGCACAAUGGAGGAAACUCUGAUGCAGCGAUGCCGCGUGAGUGAAGAAGGCCCUUGGGUUGUAAAGCUCUUUCGUCGGGGAAGAAAAUGACUGUACCCGAAUAAGAAGGUCCGGCUAACUUCGUGCCAGCAGCCGCGGUAAUACGAAGGGACCUAGCGUAGUUCGGAAUUACUGGGCUUAAAGAGUUCGUAGGUGGUUGAAAAAGUUAGUGGUGAAAUCCCAGAGCUUAACUCUGGAACUGCCAUUAAAACUUUUCAGCUAGAGUAUGAUAGAGGAAAGCAGAAUUUCUAGUGUAGAGGUGAAAUUCGUAGAUAUUAGAAAGAAUACCAAUUGCGAAGGCAGCUUUCUGGAUCAUUACUGACACUGAGGAACGAAAGCAUGGGUAGCGAAGAGGAUUAGAUACCCUCGUAGUCCAUGCCGUAAACGAUGUGUGUUAGACGUUGGAAAUUUAUUUUCAGUGUCGCAGGGAAACCGAUAAACACACCGCCUGGGGAGUACGACCGCAAGGUUAAAACUCAAAUGAAUUGACGGGGACCCGCACAAGUAGUGGAGCAUGUGGUUUAAUUCGAAGAUACGCGCAGAACCUUACCAACACUUGACAUGUUCGUCGCGACUCUAAGAGAUUAGAGUUUUCGGUUCGGCCGGACGAAACACAGGUGCUGCAUGGCUGUCGUCAGCUCGUGUCGUGAGAUGUUGGGUUAAGUCCCGCAACGAGCGCAACCCUCACUUUUAGUUGCCAUCAUUAAGUUGGGCACUCUGAAAGAACUGCCAGUGAUAAGCUGGAGGAAGGUGGGGAUGACGUCAAGUCCUCAUGGCCCUUA
This 1144-nucleotide ribosomal RNA is filed under the name uncultured marine bacterium. RNAcentral describes it as "bacterial SSU rRNA". It matches the Rfam family "Bacterial small subunit ribosomal RNA", at positions 14 to 1204 of the family's 1533-position model. The record is from RNAcentral.